RNAcentral lists this ribosomal RNA (548 nucleotides) under uncultured Glomeromycotina. RNAcentral describes it as "SSU rRNA". It matches the Rfam family "Eukaryotic small subunit ribosomal RNA", at positions 548 to 1097 of the family's 1831-position model. The record is from RNAcentral. Lineage: Eukaryota; Fungi; Glomeromycota.
UUGGAGGGCAAGUCUGGUGCCAGCAGCCGCGGUAAUUCCAGCUCCAAUAGCGUAUAUUAAAGUUGUUGCAGUUAAAGAGCUCGUAGUUGAAUUUCGGGGUCAGUAGGCUGGUCGUGCCACAGGUAUGUACUGGUCUCACUGAUUCCUCCUUCCUGAUGAACCGUAAUGCCAUUAAUUUGGUGUUGCGGGGAAUCUGGACUGUUACUUUGAAAAAAUUAGAGUGUUUAAAGCAGGCUAACGCUUGAAUACAUUAGCAUGGAAUAAUGAAAUAGGACGAUCGAUCCUAUUUUGUUGGUUUCUAGGAUUGACGUAAUGAUUAAUAGGGAUAGUUGGGGGCAUUAGUAUUCAAUUGUCAGAGGUGAAAUUCUUGGAUUUAUUGAAGACUAACUACUGCGAAAGCAUUUGCCAAGGAUGUUUUCAUUAAUCAAGAACGAAAGUUAGGGGAUCGAAGACGAUCAGAUACCGUCGUAGUCUUAACCAUAAACUAUGCCGACUAGGGAUCGGAUGAUGUUAAUUUUUUAAUGACUCAUUCGGCGCCUUACGGGAAA